CUAAGACACCAUAUUCUAUCAAAUUGAUGUAUCAUAAGUCAUUUCAGGUGUGGAGUUAAGUGACUUGACUUGGGCCACACGGGAAUUGUUGGCACGAGGAUAUGAACAUGGUUCUCUUUGACCUCAAAGCUUAUAUCAUUAAUACAGUAUUGCCUAGAAAUGGAAAUAACUGCUGUAGUUAUCCAAAAUCUAUAUCUUGGAACCAUAGGGAAAAUAAAGAAUGAAAGGUAAUUCUGCAAGGAUAAGGCAUAAAUCUAAAACUGUCAGUGUUCUUGGCUAGGGAAAGAAGGAAUGUGUGUGUGUGUGUGUGUGUGUGUGUGUGUGUGUGUGUGUGCUGAGUGUGGGAAAGAAUAAAAACUAUAAAAAUAGGUCCUGCCUGGAAGAGCUGACCAAGGGAAAAUGGACAAGGAGUAGUUCUCAUUUUGGAACCAAGGUUUCAUUGCAGUUGUAGCUCAAGGUUUAGGGAGUCUCCCCUUAGACAAACAAGGGGGAUGCUGGCUUGCUCAUGCCAGGGCUGGUCCCGAGGACCACGUGCUCACCUGGGCGGCAUGGUUGGUGAUGUGGAACACCUUUGAAAUAACAUUUGUUGCCCUUCAGCUGUUAUUCUGUUAUUCUUAGGAGUUUUUUUUUUUCUCCCAGAAAGCCACAGCCUUGAGUAUUACUCUUCAAUAGUACAGACUAAUUGGGCAAUGGAAUAAGUCAGACUGCCGUUACAGAUUCUAUAUGAAACAAUUAUAAAAAAACUUCAGGGGCUGGCCCCAUGGCGCAGCGGUUAAGUUCCCACGUUCCGCUUCUCGGCGGCCUGGGGUUCACCUGUUUGGAUCCCGGGUGCGGACAUGGCACUGCUUGGCAAAAGCCAUGCUGUGGUAGGCGUCCCACGUAUAAAGUAGAGGAAGAUGGGCACAGAUGUUAGCUCAGGGCCAGUCUUCCUCAGCAAAAAAAAAAGAGGAGGAUUGGCAGUAGUUAGGUUAGGGCUAAUCUUCCUCAAAAAACAAACAAACAAACAAACAAACAAACAAAAAACAAAACUUCAGCUCUUUGAGGAAACCGAUCUUCCAACUUGGUCUGUUCUCCAGAGAGAAAGAAAAAUGUCGUCUUCUCGGAAUGGGGAAAGUUAGAUAUAUUUUCCUUUCCCAGAUUGUGUUUAGAAACUGUGGGCCAACCUUUCAUUCACCAAAUACCCAAUGUUACCGGAGUAGGAUGCCCAGAGCCACAGCAGCAGGAAUGCAUUAGCUUGCCACCCUUCUUCUUUACAGUUCUCUGAAACGUCCCAGCUCCACCCUCCUUCCCACUUGGCUUGCCUGUUCAGAGGCCCAGGCCAGCCAUCUUGGUCACUUUCAUGGAGUGGUGGUUGAAGGGAUCAACAGCAUGUGUUUAGUUAGUGCCCAUUGAGUGCAGAGUGCUCUGUUGGGCUACCAUGGUGAGUGGGAACAAACAAGUGAGAUUAUUAAGCUACACUAAGGAUAGAAAAAUAAAUAAAACACCAUCCCUGUUCUUAGGGAGCACAGAGUCUGUUGGGCUGACUACAAAGUCAGAUGCCUAUACAGGGACCAGGUAGGCAAGGUCAGUGAAGAAAGAAGGUCGUGUGGGGAUUGUGGUAUUGGGGAGAGCAAUUCUUCUUCAUGAAGCAGCAUCCACAGCUCAUCUCCAGAAAAUCGUUGUUAUUUAGGAGGAUAAACAAUGUGGUCUGAUGUUUCAAGAGAUUCUAAAACUCCAAUUUUUUAAAUUAUGGAAAAUCUCCAGAUUUUUAAUGUUGGCAACUAAUGUAAGGUGUCAUUUUAAAUAUUGUUUGGGUAAAAAUAAAAAACAUAUAUGGGUUAGAUACAGUCUGUGGGAAAUCAUUCUGUGACCUCCAAGGGGAGAAAGACAAAAAGAAUAGUGAUCAAAAUCAGUUGGAUGGGUGUUAUGAUAGGGGAGAUCUGGGUGCUGUGUGAGCAGAGGUGAAGUCAGGAUAGGCUUUCUGGAAGAGGGGCCAUGCGUAUGAAUCGUGUCUGCACAGUACUGGCUAGUCAGAGGGAGGUACGGUGGAGUAUGAGUUCUUGACUAAGGAGCCUGCAUGUCCAAAGACAGGGAUCUGUGUGAAGCAUGAUUUGCUGGGGUAACUGGAAGUCAUUUAGUGGAACUGAAGCACUUCGUACAAGUUAGGGAGUUUUGAGGACUGAAGCUUGAGACUGAAGUUGGUGCCAGAUCCCAAAGGACCCUGAACAUCCUGCUAAGGAUUUUGCAUUUUACUCUGCAGGCAUUAGGAUGUUUUUGAGCAAAUUUAAGCAGAGGAUCAGCAUAAUCCGAUAUGAGGUUUAGAAAGACUAUGCUGUUAGAAAAGGGCAAAAGCCGGGUAAGUUUGGUGUUUGUUUAGAGGUUCUUUCAGUGAUUUGAGUGAGAGAUAAGUAUUUGAAUUAUACCAGUGGUGACAGAAAUACAGAAAAGACAUUCAAAGGAUAUCUAGGAGGUGACCUCAGUGGGACUUGAUGAGAAAGGUGAGGGGGAGUGGGGAGUCCAGAAAGACUCCCAGGUUUCUGGCUUGAGGGAUUGAGUUGAUGGCACCCAAAAAAGAAGGGAAGGAGUGCAAGAGGAAUGGGUUUUGUGUUUGAAGCUGAGGAGUUCAGUUUUGGAUGGGUUGAGUUUGAAAUGAACAGGCAGAAAUUCUCACUGAGAGUUUCAUCCAGAGAACUGGGUUUCCGAAGUGAGCUCCAGGCUGGAGAUGUAGAUUUGGAUUUCUCGGUUGCGUUUGUUGAAGGCAGGGAGUAAGCGCAUGUGAUCAUCCGUAAGAUAGAGGAUUGAACCCUGGCGAACACCUCCGCUGGGAAUGGGACGUGAAAGUGGAGGCAGCUAAGAAGCAGCCACGGAGGUGGCAGGAAAGUCAGGAGGAGUGAUGCUCUGCUAACCAACUUCAGAGAGACUUAAGGAGGAAGUUGUAUACAGAGCCAAGUGCUGUGGAAAAGGCUAAUGUGUAGAGAUUGAUAAAUAUUUGUCUACUGGAUUUAGCAACAGGAUGGUCAUAGUUGAUCUUGGCAAUGGCAACUUUAGGGAUGGUUGGGGGAGAAGCGGGCUGAAAAUUGAGUAAAGUGAAUGGAGGUGAGAAAGAGGAAACUCUGAGUAUUGAAAAUCCUUUUUAAAGUAGUGUCUGUAAAGGGGAUGAGAGAUAAAGAGUGAUACUGAAAAGACUGUAUAUGGUAAAGGGAGGGAUUUUUAAACCUGGAAGAGGCUUAGAAAUGCUUGUGUGUUGACAUGAAACAGCUAUUAUGAAUGAGGCAGCUCAGCUGCUGAAGAGAGAAGGAUGACAGGUACAGUAAGUGGCCCAGGAUGGGCGACCAGAUUGUCCUAUAACACGUUUUAUCCACGGUCUAAUGGCCCCCUAGUCCUUUGGUUAUCUUGUUUUGUACUUUUCUCUCAGCUCCUGCUUUUUGCCCUCUUUCGUUCUUAUGACAUGUUUGUUGGCAUCUCUACACAAUUUCUCUGGUUGUGGCAGUGUCUAGGAAUAGCUACAAAGACCGAAGCAGGCAGACACCACUCUUGUAUUUCCAUCCGCAGGACUGCUACUUAUGAACCAAGAACAAACAGGAUCUAUGUAAAGUUGAUUUUUAUGCCAUUUAAUAUAGGAAUACUAAAAAUUGUCAAUUUUUCCCAGAGAUGUAAGGUCAAUAAGUGCAGUGGGAAGCCUGGUCCCAGGCCACUGAUAACCUGGCAAGGGUAGCAGUAAAUGUGCCCCUUGGCUGCCACUAUUACUUUAAUUAAAUUUCAAACUGAAAUGUAAAUUUCAUGUCCUAUUUUUCUAAGUGACCAGGGUCCUUUGAGGGAAGAAGAAAGUGGAGAAGCUCAUGACUUUGUCAGGGACUGAGAGCUGAUUCACUAACUUGCAUCACGAUUGUUUACAGCUGGCAUUGACAUAGCUCAGGAGCUCUGUUUGGGUUGAUUUUAUGCUGAAAAAUUUCAACUGCUGCAAAUGCCAAAACUCCUCUCACUCCUACCCCCACCCCCACUCCCAGACUAACUCAGGCUGGAUAACGAAAUCUUAAUAAAACUUUUUAUCAAAGUGUGGUCCUCAAAGGCCAAGUAAGAUGAAGAGGGCAUCCACGCAGAGCGGUAGAGCGCUGGAGCCUGAGUGAGUCAAGUGUGGUGUCCACCCACUGGGCAGAGUAAGAAGGCCACCCCAAGGUAGGGUGACCUAUGGGGACUCAGGAUGAGGAAGGCACCCAGUUGGAUGAGGGCAGCCUGGUGCGGAAAGUCAGAACCCAAAUGGGAUGAAGAAGGUGUCUGCAUGGGCCAGAUGUAGAGUGUUGCUGUCUGAGUGGGUAGGUAAGAGGACUAGAUGAUAGGGGAGGAGGUGGCUGAGAAGAUGGGAGAUUUGUAACAUAAAGUGGAAUAGAUCAUAUCAGUAAGUAUAUUAAAGAUAAUGAAAGCAAGAUUUCUCUCUGUUUGUGGAGGGAGUUACAAAUAUGGAAAGGAGGAAUAUCUGACUUAACUUGACGGUAUUGAAUUGGAAUUGGAAGUAUAAUUGUGAACUUGUGGUUUUCAAUAUAUGGAUACAUAGAAAUAAAAUGGUUGCACACGUGUGUGUAUAUAUGUAUAUGUAUACAAUCCCCAUUUGUAUCCAUUAAGAGGGCCUAGGAACAGGGACAUCUCUGUAGCAGGAAGCAUGCCUGGCAUCCAGAUCACGGCUUCUAAAUAUUGUUCUCCACUAAAAAGAACCAGAGCUCCUUGAAGAAAUGGCUGAUUCCAAGUCUGAGGCAGGGAAAAUGCAACAUGAGCCUAGAACGUCUUCUCCGAGGAAGGGAAUGUUUAUACAAGAAUGGAGACUUGUUAGAAAGACAAAGUGGCCAGUUUGAAGUGCUUCUUACUGGGAAGAUAAUAAUAAAUGGAACAAGAAUUACUUAACAGUAGAGAAGCCUGGAAGACACCAUCUCAAAUAAGUGAUAAAGUGAACAUCAUCAGUAAUGGGACGAAUUGAAAUCAUGGGCCACUCGACAAGAAACAAUGAACAGAUCUCAACAUCACAUCUGUAAUAUUCCUGCCCGAGGAGGGUAACUUGAAUCUAAUCAUGAAGAUACAUCAUUGGACAGGCCCAAAGUGAGGGACAUUAUACAAAAUAACUUGCUUGUAGUCUUCAAAAGAAUAGAGGUCAUGAAAGCCAAGGAAUAAAGCAGAGAAGUCAAGAUGAAGAAAAAAGCAGAGAAACUGUUAAGACUGAAGGGGUUUCAAAAGACUUGAUAACUAAAUGCAAUAUGUGAUUCCUUUCAGUAUAGAUGAUAUUAUUGGGACAAUUGGUGAAAGUUAAGUGAGGCCUGAAGAUUGAUGGGAGGGAUGUGUCAGUGUUCACUUCCUGAUUUUGAUGGUUGCAUUGUGGUUGUGUAGGAGUUGUCCCUGUUUGUAGGAUAUGCACUCUUGGGAGGUUGGAGCAUCAUACUUGCAACUGAAUCUUAAAUGGUUCAUAAAAAGUUCUUUAUAGCAUAUUUGCUACUUUUCCGUAAUUUUGUGAUUAUUCCAAAAUAAAAUAAAAACUAUAUAUAUAUUCAUUAAGACUUUAUUUUUUAGAGCAAUUUAAAGUUCACAGUAAAAUUGAGAAGGCACAGAGAUUUCCCAUAUACCCUUUGCCCCCACAUAUGCACAAUUUCCCCCAUUAUCAACAUCCCCCACCAGAGUGGUACAUUUGUUACAAUAGAUGAACAUACGUUGACACAUCGUUAUCACCGAAAGCCCAUAGUUUACAUUAUGGUUCACUCUUGAAGUUGUACAUUCUAUAGGUAUGGAUAAACAUAUAAUGACAUGUAUCCAUUGUUAUGGUACCAUACAGAGUAUUUUUGCUGCCCUAAAAAUCCUCUGUGCUCUGCCUAUUCAUCCCUUCCCCAUUCCAACCCCUGGUAAUCACUGAUCUUUUUACUGUCUCCAUACUUUUGCCUUUUCCAGAGUGUCAUAUAGUUGGAAUCAUAUAGUAUGUAGCCUUUUUAGAUUGGAUUCCUUCGUUUAGGAGUAUGCCCUUAAGUUUCCUUCAUGGCUAUUCAUGGCUUGAUAGCCCAUUUCUUUCUAGCACUGGGUAAUAUUCCACCGUCUGAUGUACUGGUUUGUCUAUUCACCUACUGAAGGACAUCUUGGUUGCUUCCAAGUUUGGGCAAUCAUGAAUAAAACUGCUAUAAACAUCUACAUGCAGGUUUUUGUGUGGACAUAAGUUUUCAACUUCUUUGGGUAGUUACAAAUGAGUAUGGUUGCUGGAU
RNAcentral lists this long non-coding RNA (6209 nucleotides) under Equus caballus (horse). RNAcentral describes it as "lncRNA (ENSECAG00000050104.1)". Lineage: Eukaryota; Metazoa; Chordata; Mammalia; Perissodactyla; Equidae. The record is from RNAcentral.